Molecule: ribosomal RNA, 490 nt
Filed under: uncultured bacterium
Lineage: Bacteria
Description: partial 16S ribosomal RNA
Rfam family: Bacterial small subunit ribosomal RNA
Source: RNAcentral
AUUGAACGCUGGCGGCAGGCCUAACACAUGCAAGUCGAACGGUAACAGGAAACAGCUUGCUGUUUCGCUGACGAGUGGCGGACGGGUGAGUAAUGUCUGGGAAACUGCCUGAUGGAGGGGGAUAACUACUGGAAACGGUAGCUAAUACCGCAUAACGUCGCAAGACCAAAGAGGGGGACCUUCGGGCCUCUUGCCAUCGGAUGUGCCCAGAUGGGAUUAGCUAGUAGGUGGGGUAACGGCUCACCUAGGCGACGAUCCCUAGCUGGUCUGAGAGGAUGACCAGCCGCACUGGAACUGAGACACGGUCCAGACCCCUACGGGAGGCAGCAGUGGGGAAUAUUGCACAAUGGGCGCAAGCCUGAUGCAGCCAUGCCGCGUGUAUGAAGAAGGCCUUCGGGUUGUAAAGUACUUUCAGCGGGGAUGAAGGGAGUAAAGUUAAUACCUUUGCUCAUUGACGUUACCCGCAGAAGAAGCACCGGCUAACUCCGUG